GCCUCUUUAGUUCAGUGGCAGAACAACGGUAUCGUAAACCGUGAACACCAGUCCGAUUCUGGUAGGAGGCU
RNAcentral lists this transfer RNA (71 nucleotides) under Candidatus Nomurabacteria bacterium. RNAcentral describes it as "tRNA-Thr". It matches the Rfam family "tRNA". Rfam says of the family: Transfer RNA (tRNA) molecules are approximately 80 nucleotides in length. Their secondary structure includes four short double-helical elements and three loops (D, anti-codon, and T loops). Lineage: Bacteria; Candidatus Nomuraibacteriota. RNAcentral also lists the same sequence under 1 other name. The record is from RNAcentral.